GACGAACGCUGGCGGCGUGCUUAACACAUGCGAGUCGAACGGAAAGGCCCUGCUUUUGUGGGGUGCUCGAGUGGCGAACGGGUGAGUAACACGUGAGUAACCUGCCCUUGACUUUGGGAUAACUUCAGGAAACUGGGGCUAAUACCGGAUAGGAGCUCCUGCUGCAUGGUGGGGGUUGGAAAGUUUCGGCGGUUGGAGAUGGACUCGCGGCUUAUCAGCUUGUUGGUGGGGUAGUGGCUUACCAAGGCUUUGACGGGUAGCCGGCCUGAGAGGGUGACCGGCCACAUUGGGACUGAGAUACGGCCCAGACUCCUACGGGAGGCAGCAGUGGGGAAUAUUGCACAAUGGGCGGAAGCCUGAUGCAGCAACGCCGCGUGCGGGAUGACGGCCUUCGGGUUGUAAACCGCUUUCGCCUGUGACGAAGCGUGAGUGACGGUAAUGGGUAAAGAAGCACCGGCUAACUACGUG
This 468-nucleotide ribosomal RNA is filed under the name uncultured bacterium. Its description in RNAcentral is "partial 16S ribosomal RNA". It matches the Rfam family "Bacterial small subunit ribosomal RNA", at positions 28 to 507 of the family's 1533-position model. The record is from RNAcentral.